CCAGACUCCUACGGAGGCAGCAGUGGGGGAUAUUGCACAAUGGGGGGAACCCUGAUGCAGCGACGCCGCGUGGGUGAAGGAGCGUUUCGGCGCGUAAAGCCCUAUCGGCAGGGAAGAAGGAGGACGGUACCUGACUAAGAAGCCCCGGCUAACUACGUGCCAGCAGCCGCGGUAAUACGUAGGGGGCAAGCGUUAUCCGGAUUUACUGGGUGUAAAGGGAGCGUAGACGGCAUGGCAAGUCAGAUGUGAAAGCCCGGGGCUCAACCCCGGGACUGCAUUUGAAACUGUCAGGCUGGAGUGCAGGAGAGGUAAGUGGAAUUCCUAGUGUAGCGGUGAAAUGCGUAGAUAUUAGGAAGAACACCAGUGGCGAAGGCGGCUUGCUGGACAGUAACUGACGUUGAGGCUCGAAAGCGUGGGGAGCAAACAGGAUUAGAUACCCCCGUA
RNAcentral lists this ribosomal RNA (444 nucleotides) under uncultured bacterium. RNAcentral describes it as "bacterial SSU rRNA". It matches the Rfam family "Bacterial small subunit ribosomal RNA", at positions 331 to 792 of the family's 1533-position model. The record is from RNAcentral.